Long non-coding RNA from Fukomys damarensis (Damara mole-rat), 619 nucleotides. RefSeq lists it as uncharacterized. Lineage: Eukaryota; Metazoa; Chordata; Mammalia; Rodentia; Bathyergidae. The record is from RefSeq and is a predicted model, not a curated record. The transcript has 3 exons.
AUGAUUCAUUUGCGCGCUCGUCAUGCAGUUUGCACGUCUGCGUGUGGCUACAGCUACACAAAUAAGUUCCCUUUAGUCUGUGAUCUAGGCUGCGCUGCCUCUUGAGCUUCGUUAACUAAUUCGUACGGUGAACGAAGAGCUUCCUGUAAAAUGCGAGGCGCUGCGCAGAGUUAGCAGAAAACAGAUGCAUCCGGCACCGUGCAGCGCCUUCCUCUGCUUGGCCAGUGUCCGUGAUCUGAAACAGUGUACAAGUAUUAGUAGCUGUCAGGUCCUACCAAAUCCCAGUUAGGUGGCUACUGCAAGCCACUCCAGCCGGCCGGUGUUGGAUAUACACACAGUGGAGAACAAGCCGCAGUCACUGUCUUCAUACAAUGUUUUGCAGGAGAUUAGGUCAAGAGAAUGGAGGUUUUAGUACAAUGACACAGGAUAAAGAAGCUGACGUCCAGACUUGAAGACUCUGCUGAAGGUCACCCAGCCAGGUCAGCAGUUACAUCAGGUUUGCCCGCAGGCUGUCCGACUGACUGCAGAAACUUCACCCAGCUCACUCCUGCAGGAGAGGUAGAAGGCCGGCAACUGUCCUGUACUUUCAAAAAUUAGAUCGGAAAAUAUAUUAAACCUU